GUGCUUGCUUUGUCAGCACAUAUACUAAAAUUCAAACGAUACAGAGAAGGUUAGUGUGGCCCCUGUGCAAGGAUGACAUACAAAUUCUUGAAGGGUUCCAAUUAAAA
This 107-nucleotide small nuclear RNA is filed under the name Rhinopithecus bieti (black snub-nosed monkey). Lineage: Eukaryota; Metazoa; Chordata; Mammalia; Primates; Cercopithecidae. The record is from RNAcentral.